Molecule: ribosomal RNA, 253 nt
Filed under: uncultured bacterium
Lineage: Bacteria
Description: partial 16S ribosomal RNA
Rfam family: Bacterial small subunit ribosomal RNA
Source: RNAcentral
UACGGGGGGGGCAAGCGUUGUUCGGAAUUACUGGGCGUAAAGGGCUCGUAGGUGGCCAACUAAGUCAGGCGUGAAAUCCCUCGGCUUAACCGGGGAACUGCGUCUGAUACUGGAUGGCUGGAGUUUGGGAGAGGGAUGCGGAAUUCCAGGUGUAGCGGUGAAAUGCGUAGAUAUCUGGAGGAACACCGGUGGCGAAGGCGGCAUCCUGGACCAAUACUGACGCUGAGGAGCGAAAGCCAGGGGAGCAAACGGG